GAUGAAGAACGCAGCGAAAUGCGAUAAGUAAUGUGAAUUGCAGAAUUCAGUGAAUCAUCGAAUCUUUGAACGCACAUUUCGCCCGCCAGUAUUCUGGCGGGCAUGCCUGUUCGAGCGUCAUUUCAACCCUCAAGCCCUCGGGUUUGGUGUUGGGGAUCGGCGAGCCUUUCUGGCAAGCCGGCCCCGAAAUCUAGUGGCGGUCUCGCUGCAGCCUCCAUUGCGUAGUAGUAAAACCCUCGCAACUGGAACGCGGCGCGGCCAAGCCGUUAAACCCCCAACUUCUGAAUGUUGACCUCGGAUCAGGUAGGAAUACCCGCUGAACUUAAGCAUAUCAAUAAGCGGAGGA
RNAcentral lists this unclassified non-coding RNA (346 nucleotides) under soil metagenome. RNAcentral describes it as "partial contains 5.8S ribosomal RNA, internal transcribed spacer 2, and large subunit ribosomal RNA". The stretch from base 1 to 120 matches the Rfam family "5.8S ribosomal RNA", at positions 35 to 154 of the family's 154-position model. The record is from RNAcentral.